Molecule: ribosomal RNA, 465 nt
Filed under: uncultured bacterium
Lineage: Bacteria
Description: partial 16S ribosomal RNA
Rfam family: Bacterial small subunit ribosomal RNA
Source: RNAcentral
GAUGAACGCUGGCGGCGUGCUUAACACAUGCAAGUCGAACGAUGAAGCCCAGCUUGCUGGGUGGAUUAGUGGCGAACGGGUGAGUAACACGUGAGUAACCUGCCCUUAACUCUGGGAUAAGCCUGGGAAACUGGGUCUAAUACCGGAUAGGAGCGUCCACCGCAUGGUGGGUGUUGGAAAGAUUUAUCGGUUUUGGAUGGACUCGCGGCCUAUCAGCUUGUUGGUGAGGUAAUGGCUCACCAAGGCGACGACGGGUAGCCGGCCUGAGAGGGUGACCGGCCACACUGGGACUGAGACACGGCCCAGACUCCUACGGGAGGCAGCAGUGGGGAAUAUUGCACAAUGGGCGAAAGCCUGAUGCAGCGACGCCGCGUGAGGGAUGACGGCCUUCGGGUUGUAAACCUCUUUCAGUAGGGAAGAAGCGAAAGUGACGGUACCUGCAGAAGAAACACCGGCUAACUACGU